This 105-nucleotide ribosomal RNA is filed under the name Amyloodinium ocellatum. RNAcentral's name for it is "partial large subunit ribosomal RNA". It matches the Rfam family "Eukaryotic large subunit ribosomal RNA", at positions 1 to 103 of the family's 3401-position model. Lineage: Eukaryota; Dinophyceae; Thoracosphaerales; Thoracosphaeraceae. The record is from RNAcentral.
GACGACAUGAGUUCAGGCCAGCAAACCCGCUGAAUUUAAGCAUAUAAGUAAGCGGAGGAAAAGAAACUAAAUAGGAUUCCCUUAGUAAUGGCGAAUGAACAGGGA